CAGUGGAGAUCUCUGGCACACUGCAGGUGAGGUGCUUCCCCUUAUCCAAACAGUGGGAGGCCCUUGUAUCCUGUCCUCUACAUGCAAGAGCUGGGAAGACAUCCUGUGUGAAGGAGCUGGGUAGAGCCCAGCAGGACUGCAGGACCCUACAAGGACAGUCCUGAUCAGCUUCCCUGGGCAACUGGUUAUCCUGAGCAAUGAGGAUCUAGGGCCAUCCCAGCCAGGAUGUCCUCCAGACACCAAGGCUCCUGAGCCAGGGUGUGCUGUUACAAAGCCCAUGGCUAACUCACAUGGAUGGCACUGGAAGCAUAUGGGCGCCAGAUGGAGGAGGCAGUCAAAGGAUAAGCUUUGGCCAUCCCUGCUCUGACGUCUCAGGGAAGAAAAGCAGCACGGUAGACUAGGGGCUGAAGACGUGGUCCUGCACUUCUCACAACACCCCUGCUCAUCCCGGACAGAGUGCCUCAGAUCAUGCAUCCUCAGCUGGCGCACAGGAAACAGAGCUAGAGUCUAGGUAUAUUUGCUUGAUAAGCUGUAACUCCAGGGACUUUUUCCCUGACAUGGGAUGAGAUGGCUGCUGGACUUCCUCUGCUUGAUGGUCUCCCUUAGCUUCUGGGCCAGAGGGAGACUAGAAGGCCCACUGGGUGAUAGACAAGUAACCAAGGUGGUGACGGGCCAUGGACAGUUAUGCUCCAAGACAUUCCUCACACCUCUACGUAUACCUCACUGACAGGUGGAAACCCUAGCUCUACAAGGAAAGAGAGGCCCUGGCGGAACAUGGCAAGUCAUAUCUCGGGGUUAUUAAUAGGAAAGUAGACAAAAUAAUAUAGAUGUUUGGUAUCUGCCAGGCUCUAGUGCUAUUUAAGGCUUAUUAUAAAUAUAAAAGUUUGGUGUCUUUUAUGUGGGAAAUAAAUAAUCAAUGGUGGGGCAUAACAUCCACCCCCAAUUGAUAUUAAACACUAACCACAACAACCCACCACCACUAAUCUGGGCAUCAGUAGCACUUGCCACUGAAGGCGUCUGCAGCCUGGGCAUCAGCAGUGCCCUCACAGGAGGCUGCUCAUCCUUAGCACUACCUGGGUCUAAGGGGGACAGCAGUCAAAUGGCUGUUCAGGGUCCCACAGUAAGGUGUCUAAGGCUUGGAGAGUGGAGAUUAGUCUUCAGCCUGGCACCCUAGGCUUCUCUUACCACUCAACUAAGCCUCCCUAGCAGUCAGUCUUAGAUGCUAGCAGGGGGCUGCACUGCAUUGCCAGCCCCUCUGGUGCGAGCUGCCCCUCCCCAGCAGCCCCAGGAGGCUGUCUCCCAGCCUGAGCCCCUUCUCUGGAUGCUAAAUAAACAAAACCAUAUCGCCCACACUGUACCGGCAGCUCUCCACCAAGAAGCCCAGGGGUUUGCUAAUCAAGGAAGUGAUUGCUGCAGGGCUUGGCGUCGUGGUACACACCAGUCCAGCCAGUUUCUGCCUGCUGCUUUUCAUUUGGGUCACCUCUAAGAGUGUCAGGCCCUCUCCUUCUCAGCAUUUGCAGGUCAGUGUGUACCAAGGUUGGCUGAAUCCUCCAAAUGCUGGCAGUGAUGAGCUCUGCCCAUGAGACCUGCUUCAGCAGGUGGCCCACAAGGACAGCAGGGAGCCUUGGGUCCAAGGAAACUGCAGGCUGCAGGCCCACCAGCCUCCAGCAGUGCUUCUCUAAGACUGUGUCAUUUUUAUUUCCAAGGAAGACUUUUCUCAGUGUCCACAAAAGGAAGCAAAAUGGGACAUGUGACAGCACAGAGGGGACAUCUUAAUAAUGCCCAAAUUGUAAUUACAUUUCUUCGAGGUCCAAGCAGGCAAGCUUCCUUUAGUUCAUCUGCCUUCAAUAUCAAACACCAUUAAUGAGAUAAUAAGGCCUCUCAAUUAAUGAUUUGAGUGGUGAGUCUAAUUUUUUCCUUAAUGGCAGGAUUAAUUCAUAGGCAAAUGAGCGAGAGAUGCUGGCAAAGUUUUGAACAUUCAGCUGCCCUCCAGCUCACUGGUGGGCACAUUUCUUCUGAUGCAGACUUGGGUUGCCCUUCUGCCUAGGGAAAAGGCUCCUGGGGUCCAGGUGCCAACUUCACCCCACACGAGAGUUCUCUUAUAAAGGGAAGUGGGGAGGAAAGUGUACCUAUCUGAGGAAACCGCCCAGGUAAGGCCAUGUAGACCUGCAGAGAUACAUGGGACCGGAAUAACUGCAGCUGGCCAAGGCUGCUGCUGUAUGAGACAGGAUUCACUGACACAUGCCCAGGCAGAGGCUAUGCUCCAGGAGGCAUAGCUGAAGCUCUGCUGCCCUCCUGCCAGCCCCAGCCCUGAGCUUCAAAUGGAGAUGCACGGACCACAGUGAGGCAAUGCACAUAGGGGCCUGACAUACUUUAGGAAAGCUGUCCCCUACAUUACUCCAUAUGGUCACAGUCCCUUUCCAAGGAAGGCUGUCCCUCAGCUAUUCUCCAUAGGAAUAGUCACCCCUGAGGACUGAUUCCCAUCUACAAACUGCCCCAGUCUACAUAACUGUAGGAGGAGCAGAAAGGCCCUGCUGCCAAGGCGGUGACUGCUUCCACAGAAACUCUGGUAAAUAGUGAGUGUGGCUGUGCAGCUGCGGAGCCAGCUUCCUCCACAUGAGGGCUAAACUGAAUCCUGUCUGAGAGCCCAGAGAUUGGUGACGCAGACAAUGACAGCCAAUUGGGAACUGCCACUUAAGAGGACACACUUGCUUGGGACCAACGGGACUAGGGUGGAGGGUAUAAAGGGUGCUCCCUGAGAAUUAAUCAAAAGAGCUUUCUGCCGCAUUCUCACCGGCUCCUGGAGUCUGAGCAGUUGAUUCGCCCCUUCUCACCCACUGCCCCCAAGGGGACGCAGGGCAGGACUGAGGACUCAAGCAACACAUAACCACAGUCCCUUCCCAAGGAGGGCUGUCCCUUAAGCUACUCCACAGUCACAGUCACUUCCCAAGGAAGACUGUCCACAACCACAGUCACUUCCUACGUUUUUCAGUUCUAUUGUGGAGCUGAAAUUUCAACCAGACCCUAAAUAUGUCAGUGAUGAACAACACACAGGACAAUGGCCCCAUGAGAUUAUACCAUCCAGUGAUGCCAUAACCAUCUCAGCUUGUGCAACCACAUGGUGUGAGGAUCACACACUGAUGGAAUCACCUGUUCAUGGUAUUAAAUAUGCAUUAUCACUAAGCAAUUCAUUCUGGUGCCUGGCAUUUCAAAGUACCUGAAAUAGAAGUUAAAACCAGGAUCCACAGUCCAACCUGUCACUCAAGUGGCAGAGUCCUUGGCAUCACAUCAAGCACAGGUUCUGGGACCUCUGCAUGGCCAGGUAACAGCUGGUAUGGCUUUUGUCCCUUGGGGGCCAUUCUUAUUCAAACACCAUAUUCUGCUCCAUGGUCCCUACAGACUUGUCGCCACAUCAUUAUGCAAAAAUGCAUUCAGUCUAACUUCAAAAGUCCCCAUAGACUUUCAGUCUCAAGACUGCUUCAAAGUCUAAAGUCUCUGCCAAGACUCAAAGCAUUCUCUCAACUGUAACCCCUGUAAAAUCCUAAUCAGAAUGUGGACUGCAUACUUCCAACAUACAAUGGCAUAGAAUAUAUAUUGCCAUUCCAAAAGGGAGGACAUAAAGCACAAAGAGGAAAUACUGGACCAAAGCAAGACUGAAAACUAGCAAGACAAGCAUUCUGCUUCUCCAUGCCUGAUGCUAAAGUGCUCUUCAGAUCACCAACUCUUUUAGUUCUGUUGACUGCAACACAUUCUCUCUUGGGCUGGUACCACAUUCUGUUAGCAAUUCUCCUUGGCAGGUAACUCACAGCUUAGGAUCUCCUAACACAACCCAGGCUUCACUUUCACAGCUUCAGCGUGUGGGCGUCCACACAGGGGCACCCCUGACAUACACCUGGCCUCAGAGGCUUUCUUUAGCUGUGCAGGAAGAUUCUACAACCCUUUUCUUGUAUCUUUGACUCUAAUGAAGCCAAGACAAGGCAGAAGCUGCCAAAUUCUGAUGCUUGCUGGGAAUGGUACUUAGCCCCCUCCUUCAGUUAAAUGUGUACCAGCUUUCAAUUGCUGAUGGUUCCCUUCCCUGCUUAAGUUUUCCUUUAAUCUCUUUCACAAGUCCAAAGCUUAGCUGGGCUGGGUCUUGCCCUGAGGCCACCACUGCUUUUAUUUCUUUUGGCACCAGGAUUUUCUUUGAGUUUGUUUUUGAUUAUUUGGUUUUUGUUUGUUUGUUUGUUUGUUUUUUGUUUUUUUCCUUCUUGAGCACGGGACCUGGCUCCAGCAUCACCUUCCCUGGCACUACUUUUUUUCCUCACUCUGCAUAUUUUGUAUUUCUCCCUGGCCCACUUGCACCUUUACAUUGUAGAUCUGUAUAACAGUGGCUACUAAUAACCAUAUGACAAAGUCAAUACUAGGUUGUCUUGAAGUCUCCUCUGCCAACGCCAUUAAUCCAAAAAUACUUCAGGUAUAUAUUUUUUUAGGACAAGGACAAAAACUACUCACUUUCUUCACUAAAAUAGCAAAAGAAUAGUCUGAAGCCACCUACUAUUCUUCCCUCUAAAACUUCUUUACUGAACUGCCACAGUUCAGCCCUCAGUGCUGUCUUCCAUUUCAUACUAGGAUGGCCCAUUAAGUCCCACUUAGAGUAUCCAACCACUUUUCUAGUCCAAACUCCCAAAGUUUUCUAUACUCAUCCAACAAACAGCAUAAUCUGGCUUGCCAAAGCAAAAACCCCAUUCCUUGGUACCAGCUAUAGUCUUAGUCAUUUGUCUGUUGCUCUGAAGAGAUACCAUAACUAAGGCAACUCUUAUAAAAUGAAACAUUUAAUGGGGGUUUGCUAACAGUUUCAGAGGUUGGCCCAUCAUCAUCAUGGAGGGGAGCAUGGCAGCACUCAGACAGGUAUAGCUGAGUAGCUUUACAUCCUGAUUCACAGACAGAGAGAGAGAGAACCUGGGUUGGGCAUGAGAUUCUUG
RNAcentral lists this long non-coding RNA (4961 nucleotides) under Mus musculus (house mouse). RNAcentral's name for it is "RIKEN cDNA A930001M01 gene". The record is from RNAcentral. Lineage: Eukaryota; Metazoa; Chordata; Mammalia; Rodentia; Muridae.